RNAcentral lists this long non-coding RNA (1101 nucleotides) under Monodelphis domestica (gray short-tailed opossum). RNAcentral describes it as "lncRNA (ENSMODG00000031889.2)". Lineage: Eukaryota; Metazoa; Chordata; Mammalia; Didelphimorphia; Didelphidae. The record is from RNAcentral.
AGCAUACAUCAUAGUGACUGAAAAUCAGAAAUCCUGAGGAGCUAGGCAUACUAUAGAGAUUCUUCUUCUGGCAGACCCAUGAAGACAUAGCUAAUUAGUAUCAUCUAUGGAAGAGGCAUGAAGGAAGAGAGAAUUUUCAUGCAUGCAAGACAGAAAGCUGGGGACAUCAUCUGUCAACCAAGGUGAACAUUCCAAAUAGAAUGUUCCCAGGAAAGUCAGUUGGAGCCUAGCCAGCAGAUAAACUGGGAGACUUCCUUGACUUCUGACCAAGGAAGAGGCUGGCUUCUUCUGACCUAGGCUGAGGCUUUGGUGUGGCUGAUGUUGGUGACUGACCAUUAUAUACUGGGCUGAUUAGAAGACAGAAGAAAAUCAAUUGUCCUUCAUAACUUCCUGACAGAUUUUUGUGUCACAGCUGUGACAGGACUGACAUUUCCCAAAAUCCUCCUAACCUUCAUUAUAGAUUAGGGAUAACCCUAUCCCUCUCACCUCAUCUUUCAUCCUAUCCUAUCUUCCCCAAUAAACCUCCUUACCUGAGAAAGAGGGAAAAAGUAUCUUUUCUAAACCUCACAGUUCACCUUUUGAGUUACAUAGAAAGAUAUUAUGGAACCAUAGUCAGGCUCACACAAAAUUUAGCAUCUUCCAUUUUAAAGGAAUGAAGGACUGGAAUAUGAGAUUCUGGAAGGCAAAGGAGCUAAUAUUACAAUCAAGAAAAACCUACCCCACAAACUGAGUAUUUGAUGAAGUUGAUGAUUUUCAAAUAUUCCUGAUUUAAAGACCAGAAAUGAAUAGAAAACGAUGUUCAAACACAAAGCACAAGAGAAGCAUAAAAAGGCUAAACAUCUCCAGGGACUUAGAUGACUUCAGAGAUACUUCAAUUCUAGAAUUCCAAGAUUCAACAAUUAUUGUCAAUGUCCCCUAUCCAUUAAUGCUGAAAAGAAUAUUUUAUUUCAUAAAUAUUUUCAACAGACAUUGAACCCAAAAAAGCAACCUUUAAUGAAAUAGAAAAUUCAAUUAAUUAAAGUACAGGAUUCAAAGAAAAUUCUAGUCAUAUUUUCAAUGGACAUACUUCCAUAUAAGACAAUUCUUGAAGUCUAUUUGAAU